RNAcentral lists this ribosomal RNA (253 nucleotides) under uncultured bacterium. RNAcentral describes it as "partial 16S ribosomal RNA". It matches the Rfam family "Bacterial small subunit ribosomal RNA", at positions 524 to 776 of the family's 1533-position model. The record is from RNAcentral.
GACGGAGGGUGCUAGCGUUGUUCGGAAUCACUGGGCGUAAAGGGCGCGUAGGCGGCCUGGCAAGUGGAAGGUGAAAUCCCUCGGCUUAACCGAGGAACUGCCCUCCAAACUGCUUGGCUUGAGUCCGGGAGAGGUGAGUGGAAUUCCCAGUGUAGCGGUGAAAUGCGUAGAUAUUGGGAGGAACACCAGUGGCGAAGGCGGCUCACUGGACCGGAACUGACGCUGAGGCGCGAAAGCGUGGGGAGCAAACGGG